GAUGAACGCUGACAGAAUGCUUAACACAUGCAAGUCAACUUGAACUUCGGUUUGGGUGGCGGACGGGUGAGUAACGCGUAAAGAACUUGCCUCACAGUUAGGGACAACAUUUGGAAACGAAUGCUAAUACCUGAUAUUAUGAUUAUAUGGCAUCGUAUAAUUAUGAAAGCUAUAUGCGCUGUGAGAGAGCUUUGCGUCCCAUUAGCUAGUUGGAGAGGUAACGGCUCACCAUGGCGAGGAUGGGUAGCCGGCCUGAGAGGGUGAUCGGCCACAAGGGGACUGAGACACGGCCCUUACUCCUACGGGAGGCAGCAGUGGGGAAUAUUGGACAAGGGACCAAGAGUCUGAUCCAGCAAUUCUGUGUGGACGAUGAAGUUUUUCGGAAUGUAAAGUGCUUUCAGUUGAGAAGAAAAAAAUGACGGUACCAACAGAAGAAGUAACGGCUAAAUACGUG
RNAcentral lists this ribosomal RNA (454 nucleotides) under uncultured bacterium. RNAcentral describes it as "partial 16S ribosomal RNA". It matches the Rfam family "Bacterial small subunit ribosomal RNA", at positions 28 to 507 of the family's 1533-position model. The record is from RNAcentral.